This is a long non-coding RNA of Mytilus californianus (California mussel), 384 nucleotides long. RefSeq lists it as uncharacterized. The record is from RefSeq and is a predicted model, not a curated record. The transcript has 3 exons. Lineage: Eukaryota; Metazoa; Mollusca; Bivalvia; Mytilida; Mytilidae.
AGUCAGAUGAUCGAAUCUUUAAAGGAUCAAUCCAAGAAAGAUAGAGACAAAUUGACAACGAUAAUAGCACAAAACAAGGAUGUUUUAAAGGCAGCACUAAUUUUCAAUAACAGAAGCAAGGAACUUUUCAAAACUAAAAACGAUGAAAAAAAGAGACAGGCUUUGAAGAACUUAACCGAUGAAAUUGUAAAACUUAAAAUCGAGGCUAUUCCUGAGUUUCCAACCGUGAAGUACGAGGCUAAAUCUUCAACAGACAACGACAUCAGACAAUUGUUUGGAUCAUUUAAGAUAAGAGCAACAAGACAGCAUACACAACCCAUAGAGCAAGGUAGAUACCUUUAUAGAUGUAAAAAAUGUCGGAAGGAGAAAAGAUCAGAUGUGUGA